RNAcentral lists this ribosomal RNA (427 nucleotides) under uncultured bacterium. Its description in RNAcentral is "partial 16S ribosomal RNA". It matches the Rfam family "Bacterial small subunit ribosomal RNA", at positions 355 to 774 of the family's 1533-position model. The record is from RNAcentral.
UGGGGAAUAUUGCACAAUGGGCGCAAGCCUGAUGCAGCCAUGCCGCGUGUGUGAAGAAGGCCUUCGGGUUGUAAAGCACUUUCAGCGAGGAGGAAGGGUGGUGUGUUAAUAGCACAUCACAUUGACGUUACUCGCAGAAGAAGCACCGGCUAACUCCGUGCCAGCAGCCGCGGUAAUACGGAGGGUGCAAGCGUUAAUCGGAAUUACUGGGCGUAAAGCGCACGCAGGCGGUUUGUUAAGUCAGAUGUGAAAUCCCCGCGCUUAACGUGGGAACUGCAUUUGAAACUGGCAAGCUAGAGUCUUGUAGAGGGGGGUAGAAUUCCAGGUGUAGCGGUGAAAUGCGUAGAGAUCUGGAGGAAUACCGGUGGCGAAGGCGGCCCCCUGGACAAAGACUGACGCUCAGGUGCGAAAGCGUGGGGAGCAAACA